UACGGAGGGGGCUAGCGUUGUUCGGAAUUACUGGGCGUAAAGCGCGCGUAGGCGGACCUGCAAGUCGGGGGUGAAAGCCCGAGGCUCAACCCCGGGCCUGCAUCCGAUACUCCCGGGCUGGAGGCAGGUAGGGGAGAUCGGAAUUCCUGGUGUAGCGGUGAAAUGCGCAGAUAUCAGGAGGAACACCGGUGGCGAAGGCGGAUCUCUGGGCCUGUCCUGACGCUGAGGCGCGAAAGCUAGGGGAGCGAACAGG
Molecule: ribosomal RNA, 253 nt
Filed under: uncultured bacterium
Lineage: Bacteria
Description: partial 16S ribosomal RNA
Rfam family: Bacterial small subunit ribosomal RNA
Source: RNAcentral